UACGUAGGGGGCUAGCGUUGUCCGGAUUUAUUGGGCGUAAAGAGCGUGUAGGCGGCCAGGUAGGUCUGCUGUGAAAACUCGAGGCUUAACCUCGAGAUGUCGGCGGAAACCAUCUGGCUAGAGUCCGGAAGAGGAGAGUGGAAUUCCUGGUGUAGCGGUGAAAUGCGCAGAUAUCAGGAAGAACACCCGUGGCGAAGGCGGCUCUCUGGGACGGUACUGACGCUGAGAAGCGAAAGCAUGGGGAGCGAACAGG
Molecule: ribosomal RNA, 253 nt
Filed under: uncultured bacterium
Lineage: Bacteria
Description: partial 16S ribosomal RNA
Rfam family: Bacterial small subunit ribosomal RNA
Source: RNAcentral